This is a non-coding RNA of Rattus norvegicus (Norway rat), 22329 nucleotides long. NCBI's taxonomy places the organism in Eukaryota, Metazoa, Chordata, Mammalia, Rodentia, Muridae. The record is from RefSeq and is a predicted model, not a curated record.
GAAGGUGGAUGUGUUUGUCUUAGGAUGUCAGUACACAGAGGACAGCCUUGCUUCUUGACCAUUCCUAGGCCAUGAGCCAACUACAUGGUGGUUCUCAGAUCUGUAAGUGUUGAGAAUCUGUGUACUUUAUUGGACAGAACUGGGUCCAGGUCCCUGGUGGGACACGCGCAGGACCGGGCUGGGUGGCUAUAAUGGGAAGCAGACCUUUGCACCUGACUAAUGGAUUUGGUUGGCAUUUUGCAAGCAUUGGAUGGUGUGGCAGUGACAUGUGUGACAUAUGAAGAUACGGUUCUUUUUUUGCUAGAACUUGGAAUUUGAUUUCCAGAUAUGAGUGACGUGUGCUGAUAUGACUUGGGUGGGUGAGGUCUUUGAUAUUUAUAUUUCAUUUAAUCUUCAUGCAAACACCUUGUACAAAUGCAUGCACAAGCUAUUGAAGACUGCCAUUUUUUUUAACAUAUAAGGAAACAGAAUCUCAGAGGUUAAGCACUAAGAAUUCAGAAUGUAAAUAAACAAUAAACAGAGUUCUUAACCUGCAUACCUGGUGUCUGUUUUUUUUUUUUUUAACUUUAGAAACGUAUUAUUUGGGGGCUGAGGUGGUAUCUCAGUAUUUAAAGUGCAGCCAUACAAGUGUGGGCACUGGUGAUGUUCAGGUGGAGUUCAGGUGAUGGGUGACCUUGCCUAAAUGAGUGAAGUGGAAGAGAAGUUGAAGAAGUUUCCUGGCCUCAGCCUCAGGCCUCCAGACAUGUGCCUGUAUACAUGCAGACAUAUAAACCUACUGCCUCCACACAGAUGGGAUAAGAGUGUUGUUAUUGUGUGUGUGCAUGUGCCUAUAUGUGUAUGCAUGAAGGGCGGGGGCGCACAUGCCAAGAUGUGCAUGUGAAGGUCAGAAGACAACUUUGUAGAGUUGCUUCUUCCCAUCCACCUUUACCUGGGGUCUGGAGAUCAAAUCUGGUUGCCCGACUUGUAUAGCAAGGUUCUUUACCUGUUGAGCCAUUUUGCAGUCUCCUCCUCCCCCUCUUCCUCUCUCUCCUACUUCUCUUUCUCCAUCUCCUCCUCUCUUCUUUUUAAAAUUGGCCUGUAUUCAUUGUUCAUGUAUCCAUAAACAAGUUCCUCUCAAAUAUCUAUUUUCACCAUCUGUAUCUCCCUCCUGUUACUCCCCUCAGGUCUCUUUUACCCUCCUAAUAGCCUCCCUUCUCAACGCCCCCCAUCUCUUAUUUGUGUUGUCAACUUGACAGAUUCUAGAAACCCCUACGAGCUAGGUCUCUGGAUACGCUGGUGGGGGAAACCCCACCUUGAUCGUGAGAAGGGCUAUCUCUAUCCUGGGUGGGGACCCUCAUUAGAUGGAGAUGCAAGCUGAGCCCUAGAGCGGAACUCACUGCUCUCUCCUUUGGACAGUGGCCAGCUGCUUCUAGCUCCUGCUGCCAUGACCUUCCCACCAUGAUGCACUCUGCCUUCAACUGUGAGCUAAAAUAAACCUCUUUUCCCUUCAGAGCAAUGGGAAAAGAAGCUAAGUCCUCUGUCCUCGGCCACUGAUCUACAGGUUUGGUUUGUAAUAGUGUCAUAGUAUUUUUGUUACAGUAGUUUUUCAGCAAACCUUUAAAUCUGGUGUUGUACUACCUUGCUGCUUGUAGUUUUUGGUGGUGUUGUUUGUUUGUUUGUUUGUUUGUUUGUUUGUUUUUUGCUCAGGACUGUUGGCUGUCAUGAUCCUUUGUACUUCAGUACAUUUUCAUCUAAUUCUGUGAAAAAUAUCACUGGCAUUUUAAUGGAAACUGCUGAACCUGAAGAUCCAUUUUGAUAAUAGAGCUAUUUUUGUGUUAUCAAUUCUACUAAUCCAUUAGUAACGGCUAUCUUUCCAUCUCAUUCUUCAAUUUCUUAAGUGCUUACAUUUUUCUCACUGUAGUUUCUUGGCUGGGAUUAUUCCUAGGUUAUUUAUUUAUUUAUAAAGCACCGUGAAUCGGGUUCCUUUCUCGAUUUCUCAGCAGUAUGUGGGUUGCUGACAUAUAGAAAAGCUACCGGUUUUUGUGUCCCGUUCAUUUUCUGGAAGAGUUCAUCAGUUCUAAAAAUUCCUGGUAAAGCUUUGGGUCUCUUAUUGUGGAAAGUUAUUGUCUACAAAUAGGGAUGAUUUCUCUCUGCCUUUCCAUUCACAUGCCUUUUACUUCUUUCCCUGUUUAUUUUAUUUAUUUAGUUUUAUUCCUGUAGCUCAAACUUCAAGGACUGUAUUGAGGAAACACAUGAAAAGAGUGGACAGCAUUGCCUCAUUCCUGAUUUUACUGCAAGUGCUGUGGCUUGUUUAACUCUGAUUAGGGUAAUGUCAGUUAUAGAGUUUUUUCUUUCAAUACAUAACAUUUGUUAUGUUACUGGAUAUUUAUUUCACUGCUAGAUUUUUAAAGUUUAUUUAUUUAUUCUAUGAGUAUACUGUCAUCACUGUCUUCAGACACACCAGAAGAGGGCAUUGGAUCCCAUUACAGAUGGUUGUAAGCCACCAUGUGGUUGCUGGGAAUUGAACUCAGGUCCUCUGGAAGAGCAGUCAGUGCUCUUAACCACUGAGCCAUCUCUCCAGCCCCUCAUUGCUAGUUUCCUAAGGCUUUUGUUGUCAAGAGAAAUUAUCCAGGGACUUUAUCAAAGGCCUUUUCUGGCUCUGCUAAGGUGUGAUUUCUGUCCCCAACCUAUUGAUGUUAUGCAGGUGCAUGUGUUAAACUAUCCUUGUAUGGAUGAAGUUCAUUGAUCAUGAUGAAUGAUGUUUUUGAUGUGUAGUUGAAUUUAAUUUAUAAAUACUGUCUCAAAAGUUUGUGCAACUAUGUUUAUUGGAGAGAUUUACCUAUAAUUUCCUUUUUUUUCGGUGGCCUUUUCCAGUUUAGAUAUGUGUAUAAAACUACAAUGAAAAAUGAAUUUGGCCAUAUUAUUUCCUUAACUUUAUGGGAUAGUUUGAGAAGCAUUGGUAGACUUUCACUGGGAUCUUUCUGAGCUUAAGGAUUUUAGUUAAGAGACUUUUACUAGUUCUUUAGUCUUUGUGCUGGUUCUUUUUUGCCAGUUAAUACAAACCAAAGUCACCUGCAAAGUUUACUGCAUGCGUGUCUGGUACCUAUGAAGGCCAGAAGAGAAGCCUAAAUCCUCUGGUCCUGGAGUUAAGCUGCAAUGUGGCUCCUGGGAACUAAAUUUGGUUCUUGUGCAAGAGCAGUGGAACCACUGCUAUAGAGAAGUGAAAUAUCCCUUAUUUCAAGUUUUCUUAAGUUUUUUUAAGUGUUACUUCAGUUGAUUGAUGACCGUCUUAGUCACAGCUCUAUUGCUGUGAAGAGACAACAUGAACAAAGUAACUCAUAAAAGAAAGCGUUUAACUGGGGAUUUGCUUAUGGGUUCAGAGGUUCAGUCCAUUAUCAUCAUGGCAGAAAGCAUGGCAGCAGGUGUGGCAGGCGUGGUUUUGGAGUAAGAGCUGAGAACUACAUCCUAAUCCACAGCAGAGAGAAAGUGGGGAGAGGGAGGGGGAGAGGGAGAGGGAAGGGGGCAGAGGGAAAGAGAGUGGAGCAGAGGGAGAGAGAGAGAGACUGGGCCUAGCAUGGGCUUUUGAAACCUAAAACCACAUUCCAGUGACAUACUUUUUCCAACAAAGCCACAUCUUCUCAUCUUGUCAAAUUGUGUCAUUCCCUGUUGACUAAACAUUCAAAUAUAUGAGCCAAUCGGGGGUGGGGGGUGUCAUCCUUGUUCAAACCACCACAAUGACUGAGUAGGAUUUUUGAAAUAUAACAUUAGUGUGUAGUGAUCUCCCAUUGGCCAAGGAAAUACAAUGUCCACUUUCACUAUUAGUGUAAGAGAGCAUUUUUGACUAAUAGCAGUCCAAACCUUAAUAAGUAGGAGUACACAUUUAAGUCCAAUGUAAAAAGUAGAAUUUUUUCCAGAAAUAAUCUUCUCCAAGGGUAAGCAUAUCAGUUAGUUACCUAAUAUCAAACUGUCAACUCUGAAAACAUAUAUACAAGUAACGUCUUAUAGACUCAGCAGACCGUAUUAUACACAUGCAAAUGGGCAUGCUCACAUACACACACAUACACAUACACACACACACACACACACACACACACACACACACACACACACACACACGAGAGUAACAACAAUUAAUGUAAAAGGUGCCAUGACUUUGAAAGAGACCAAGGAAGAUAUUUAGGAGGGUUUGAAGCCAGGAAAAGAAAGAGAGAAAUGUUGUAAUUAUAAUAUCAGAAAAUAAAUGAAGUGAUAUAAAAUGUUCCUUUACAAAAAUCUUUAAAUCAUACAGAAAUCAAUGGAGGUCUUUAGGCCAGCUAAUGAUUGUUUUAGAUAUUUCUAAUAGUAAUCCUGUGUUUUUCCAUAUAAGAGAUAGUGUCAGUUAUAUUCAUCUGCCAACUCACAGUGAUAUGGAGCCCUUGAAAGCAGGUUGGGGAGAUGGCUCAGUGGCUGAAGUGCUUGCCCAACAAGCAGAAAGACAUGAGGACACAGAUCUCCAGCACUGGUGUAAAGGCCAGGUGGGCAAUAGCCCCCUGUAAUCCUAGUACAGAGGAGGCUGAGACAAGGAAUCCCUGCCCACCUCUCCCUCCCCAGUAAGAGAAAUUCUUCCUUCUAGGUCUGUAGGUAAACCUGCCUUUUUCUCCAGACUGUGAUGCCAACUUUAUUUCUAAAGCUGUUUGUUACAGAAGCAUCCCUGGAAGGAAAAUUUAGAUAAAGAAAUGGCCAUUGUUUGUGCUGGUGAAUUUUUGUCUGUUUGACAAAAGCUAGACUCAUCUGGGAAGAUAAACCUCAACUGGGGACAUGCCUUCACGGGAUUGCCUGACGAAAGUCUGUGGAGCAUUUUCUUGAUUGACAGUUGAUGUGGGAGGGCUCAGCCUACUGGUUGCCCCCUGGGCAGAUGACCUUGGGUGGAAUUUGAAAGCAAUCUGAGCAGGCCAUGGAAUUAAACUGAUAAGCAGUGUUCCUUCACUCCUCUGCCUCAGUUCCUGCCCUGACUUCCUGUUCUAGCUUCUCUCAGUGAUGGACUAUAAGCUAAACUUUCUACCUCCAAGCUACAUUUGGUCAUGGGUUUUUUGGUUUUUUUGUUUUGUUUGUUUUAUUAUUUUUUUUCUCAGCAAUAAAAGGCAAACUAGAACAUCAUUUCAUUCUGACUGUGUGGAGAAAUUUAAGAGACUCAUGAAGAACUGCCUCGCCCAACCACUAACCCUAAUUUAGAAUUAUUUGUUUGCUCUUGUAUCUUAUGUUCUAUAUUAAAAUACCUAGAUACAGUGUCCUGCAGUCCUUGGUAACUUCGGUUUCCCUUGCAACAAUAUAAUGUUGUUUCAUACUUUGUAAGUGUUCAGUAAAUAAUUUAUUAAAUUAAUGAAAUGCUUUCUAAUUUUCAUAGUAAUUCAUAUGUAAUUCAAUUCUUAGGAUCUGAAAUCCUAAAUAUAUAUAUACAAAAACAUGUAAAUUAUUUGCACAUUUUCCCUUCUGUUGGAUCUAUGAAGUUAAUACUGUGGUAUAAACUAGACUUUUAUGCUCUAAAGUGUGGUAUUUGGCACAUGAUUCUGAAGCUAACAUGCUUCUUGUUCGAUUCAGGAAAUAUAAGACUGCAGGAGUCAGCAGGCACAUGUGCUGGUAUAAACUGUUCCGUGGUAUUGCCCUGGGAGUUAACAAUAGAUUUUCUUGCUUGCAACAGGAAUAACGAAAGAGCAGUUGAGCACAAAGUGCUUUAACUUCCUGUGAUCAUUAACAUUUUAAAAGGAAGUAUAAAAAAAUCAUUAUUGAGUCAAGAAAUAACGAGUAAAAAAAAAAAAACCCCAAAAGGAGCGGUGUAUGCAUAGCAUGACAUUUGUGAAGCGUAAGUAAAAUAGAGCAGCAGUUCUUAAGAGAGUAGUGCAGCGGUGGGGAGAUGAAAUGGAGGAGCCUGAGCUCUGCCACAGGCAGUUGUUUUCCAUAGUGCUUAGCAAAUGGAAGGUUCUACUUCAAUUAACAAUUGCAGGCUUCCUCCUCUUCCCCCCUCCCCCGCUGUGCUGUGUAAACAGGAGCAGGUUACCUCUCUUCCCUGGUCCUGGGUUUUUUUCAUCAGUCAGCUGAACGCUUCAAACACAGGCCUCAGGAUGGGGUCAGUGCAGACUGGCGAUGUGUAGAAUCUCACCCUUGGCACAGUUCCUCUUCUUGGAUUGAUUAGUGGUGCCUGGCCAUGCUACACCUGAGUUCUAGUGGGAAGAAAAGAAGGGAAGCUGAUCCCUCCUGCCGUUCCCGCCAUGCCUGGCCUCAUUACCUGCCAUCCCUGCCUGGUACACCCCACCCGGGACCUGUGCACAGUCAUCCUCUCCUGGAAUUCCUUUCCACCACCACAGCCGAUCUUCCUGUGUACAGCCUUGACGUUCAGCAAAGCCAAAUGAAGCGAUCCUGUGACAUUCCCUUGCCAGCCUGUUACCAAGUCUCACACUGAUAGGCAUCAGAGAAGCACUGAUGGUCUGACUGACAAUUCGCAACUUCACACCUGCUGCCGUGGAUGCAGCACACACUGGGAGUGCUGUGGGAAGACCAGGUUCGGACGGAAGCAGCUCUUGGAAGGAGCUAUGACUCCGAUGGGCGGGGUGGGUUUAUUUUUUAAAGGUAAUAGCUUCGUAAUAAUGGACAUUCAUUAAAAAUAGGAUUCUUCUUGCAUUCAAAGUGUAGAUAUCAGUUAAUAGUGACAGUGGCCAAACAUCACAUCCUUUUUAGAUUAAAAAAGAAAAAAAAAUGAGAGACAGUGUUGUAUCCCUCUUUCGAAUGAUUUGAAUCAGUGAUAGAGAAAUUGUUUCUGGGUGAGCGUGAGGACUGUUUUGUUUUCUUUUCCAUUGUUAAACUCAUGUCUCCCUGUAUUCAUUAUCCUGAAUGGAGAAUGGUGAACUCUGGUUUGUAUAUGUUAUUUCUUUAUUUGAACGGAUUCGUUUGCACUCAAUGUAAAUAAUGUGAAGAGAGAAAGAUAUUUAUGAAGUAAGCAUACCGGCUAGCAUUUGGCAUCAUUUACGCCAUGCCUGCUGUUGUGCAAAGCCCUUUCUAGGUAUUUUAUUCAAAUGGGUGCGGAAAAAAAUGAUUUCUUUUUUGUUUUAAUAUCUUUUUAAUGCUUUCAAAAUCAUAAGUUUCAUGAGGUUUAGUUGCAAUGAAAUUUUCAUUCAUGCUUGUUUUUCUCAUGUGUACACAUAAUGUCAGCUUGAUUUGAAUAGCGCGUUCAAAGGAUAAUAAAGCUGAUGAAAUUUUAAAACGUUAAGAUUGAGUAUUGAGUUAACACAGAUGUCUUAUAAAAGGAGGAAAAGCAGGCUGAUCAUGUCACUCUGAGGAAUAGUUCCUGGGAUCUGCAGAUACGCUUCAAUUCUGUUUAUCAUCUUUGUAAAAACUGACUCAGAAGGAAUUGUCCACACUGUGGGAUGAUCCAGCUGCUUGUUGAAUCAAUUGCUUUUAAUUAGCCCAUCUGAUGUUGAUUGAAUUCUGGGCUUGCGUGCCUGGAUAUCCCUGAAAAAAUUGAAUUAUCAGUAUUCUUCUCAUUUAGAAAUAUUUGAAUCUAAAGUGAUGAGAGAUUUUUAUACUAAAUUAUUCUCAUUAUGUUGUGUUCAUAAUCCAUCCAUGCCAUGUCCUCAGAUCCUGACACAGUCUGGGGAAAUCAGCCUCCUGUGAGAUUCAGGAAUAGGCGGUAAUCAUGCAGUGACCAAGAAAGCAGCCAGCAUCUACCCUUCGGUAUCAUCUGCGGAUGGGAGAGGCAAAAAAGAGAACGUCUAACCAUCGAAUGGACAGAUGCCUCUGUUUUUCUUUGAAUGGAAAGGCCCACUGCUUUCUCAGAUAAUCAGUUUAUUUUUGAGAGAGAGGGUCAAAAGUGAAGAAUGUGGUAACGUGUGUGGGUUCAAGUCCUGAUUUUACCAUUUACCUGCCUUCUCACCUUGGGCUCAUCACUGAAGUUCUAGUGUUUUCAGUUCCUGCGUGUUUAAAUGAGGUCAUAGAGUAACCAGAAGUUAUUUAUUCUUAGAAAUUACAAAAAUUGCAUUAUUUAUGCACUCACUCCAUGUGUAGGUGGGGGUAUUCAGGGCACAAUACGUGCGUAGAGGUCUGAGGCAACGUGUGAAACAGUGACCUCCCAUCUUGUACAUCCUGGGGUUUGGACUCGGGUUGUCAUGCUUGGCAGUGUUAGGGUCUGUAUUCGCUUAAGAAGGAUACCUCAGACUCAAAUAGUGUGCAACGGCAGAGAGCAUUUAUUCUAUAGAAAUUACCGGCAUGCGGGGAUCUCCAUCCAGCAAAAUGGAGACACCCAAUGGACUUACAAUUCCAGGGAGGGAUGUGUGUCCUUUCACCUUUAUUGGUUAGCUCGAUCUCUAGGGGUCUGACUGAUUUGAUCAUUAGUUAGGAUCUGGGGACUUCCCAGUGUGGUACUCAUUCUAGCUAUCUAGUUUUUGCUCUAGACCAGAUGACAAGGUGUCCUAAGAUUGGCUGCCCUUGGCUGCGGUUGGCUGACCACAGGUUCCUGUAUCCCAGUUUUCAUUUCUGGGAAACAGCAACUUGGGCCUACUAUCCUGAACUGUCAGUUUGAAGCUUGUCAUGAAGUCGGCCUGGCUCUGUUAACUCAGUCCUCUCAGCAGCAGAAGCCUUUACCUGCUGAACCCUAUUGCCGAACCAUCUUCCCAAUUAUCAAAAAAAGUUUAUUUCACUCAAUUAAGAAAGACAUCAAUAUGGAUGCUAUAUAUGCAAAUACAGAUAUACUUAUGUAUAACUUUUGAGAAGCUGGUUAAUUAUAAAUUAUUACAAAAUUCGAUCAAACCCUUUUUUUCAUUUUGUAGGUUGCCAUUUUUGUCCUUUUCCAAGCAGAAGCUUCUCUGUUUCAUGAGGCCCCAUAUAUUAUUUAUCUUAGUGCCUGUGCUAAUGGUGUUCUGUCGGAAAAUCUUUUCCUGAGGCAAUGACUUCAAGGCUAUUUUGUACUUUCUCCUCUAUCAGUAAACUGGCUACCUUUAUAUUUGACACAAGCUAGAAUCAACAUCUCAAUGGAGAAAAUACAUCUCUAUCAGAUAAGGCUGUAGGCAAGCCCGUAGGGCACUUUCUUAAUUAGUGAUUGAAGAAGCUCCAGCCCAUUAUGAGUGGUAUCAUUCUGGGGGUCCUUGUCCUGGCUUCUAUAAGAAAGCAGACUGAGCAAGCCAUGAGGAGUAAGGAGUAAGCAGUGCUCUCCCAGGGCCUCUGCGUCAGCUCCUGCUUCCAGUUCCCUGCCCUGUGUGAGUUCCUGUCCUGACUUUCUUUGAUGAUGAGUUGUAUAUGGAAGUGUAAGCCAAUUAAACUCUUUCCUCUGCAAGUGCCUUUAGUCCAGGUGUUUUAUCAUAGCGAUAGGAACCCUGACUAAGACAAUCUUGUUCGGUGUAUCUGGUGUUAUGCUGAGGUCCUUGAUCCAUUUCGAGUUGAGAUUUGAGCACAGGGAUGAGGAUGGAUCUUUUUGCAUUCUUUCACAUGCAGCCAUCCAUCUCAGCUAGCACCGUGUAUUGAAGAUACUGUCCCUCCACACCCCCCAAUGUGUAUUUCUGACCUCUUUAUCAAAAUUGAGGUGUCCAUAGGUAGAUAGAUUUAUAUAUGGGUCUUCUACUCAGUUCUAUUGAUCAGUGUGCCUGUUUUUGUGCCAAUUCCAUGUUGUGUUUUACUACUAUAGCUCUGUAGUGUUUUAUUACUAUAACUUUGUCGUGUUUUAUUACUAUAGCUCUGUAGCACAACAAUCAGGGAUGAUGGUACCUCCAGCAGUUUUUUAUAGUCAUGAUUAACUAUUCCGGGGUUUUUAUGUUUCCAAAAGAGGCUGGAAAUUGUCCUUUAAGGACCUAUUAAGAAUUGUGUGAUUGCAUUGAAUCUGUAGAUUGCUUUUGGAAGGAUGGCCAUUUUUAACUAUGUUAAUCUUCCAAAUUCCUGACCAUGGAAAGUCAUUCCCUAAUGUACUAUCUUUUGCUAUUUUUCCAGUGACUUGAAGUUUUUAUCAUACAAGUCUUUCACUUGCUUGGGCAGAGUUAUCCCAAGACAUUUUAUAUUAGUUAAGGCUACCGGGAAAGGUCUUCUUCCCCUGAUUUCAUUUUCAACCCAUUUGUCAUUUGUACAUAGUCAUUUGCUACUGAUUUCUGUGAGUUACUUCUCUAUCCAGCUACUUUGCUAAAAGUGUUUAUCAGCUGUAGGAGUUUCAUAGCAGAAUUUUUAGGAUCACUAAAAUUUUAGGUAGUAUAUGUACUACCAUAUCAUUAGCUAAUAAAGAUACUUCAGUUUUCUUAUUGCUCUAGCUAAGACUUCAAGUACUACAUUGAGUAGGUGUGGAGAGUGGACAACCUUGUCUUCUUUGUGAUUUUAGUAGAAUUGUUUUGAGUUGCCAUUUAGGUUAAUGUUGGCUAUGGGAUUGCUGUAACUGCCUUUAUUAUGUUAAGGUAGAGUCCUUGUAUCCCUAAUCUCUCCAGGACUUUUUUUCACAAAGAGGUAUUGAGUCCUCCAAUAGAGAGCUAAUAUGCAAAACAUAUAAAGAGCUUAAAAUAGAUGUGAAGAAAAUAAAUAGCCUAGUUUAAAAUGGGGGGGGCAGCGGCGAGGAUACAGAUCUGAACAGAAUUCUCAAUAAAGGAAACUCAAAUGGCCAAGAAACACUUGAAGAAGCAUCCUUAGUCAUCAGGGAAAUACACGUCAAAACUACUUUGAGAUUUCAGCUUAUAGCUGUCAGGAUGGCUGAGAACACAACAAGUGACAGCUCAUGCUGGUGAGGAUGUGGAGUAAAGGGAACACUCCUUCAUUGCUGGUAGGAGUGCAAACUUUUACAGUCACAAUAUACAAUCGAUAUAUUCAACAUAAAAUAUACAAUAUAGUAUACAUACAUAGGCUUACUGGUUGUGGUCCAGCUCAUCCAACAAUGGUUGUCUAAUAACAUAAGGUUGAAGGCUCUGGUAGUUGUUCAGUUUACGAAAAUGGAUGUCUCUCAUCUGGUACUUAGUAUAUGCCAGAAUCCUAAAGAAGAAGGCUCUAAUUCCAGUGAAGGAAUUGACUUGCUAGUGAGAUCAAGAGUAAACAAGCAAAGAAAGCAAGCCUCCUUUCUCCCUGUCCUUUAUAUAGGCUGCCAGCAGAAGGUGGGUGUGGCCUAGAUUACAGGGAGAUCUUCCUACCUCAAAAGGUUCAAGCAAAAAGUUGGUAUUCCCAUUUCAAGUGAUUUAGUUAAGAAAAAAAAAUACCUCUUACAGGUAUCCAGACUAUUGAGCUUUUAUAAUUCCAAAUAUGUCAAGUUGACAACUAAGACUAGCCAUGAGUCCUUCCCUUGUCAGCCUGACACACAAUCAUAUCUCCUUUUGUCACGCUUAAUUCUCAAGUGAAAAAAAAAAGAACAGGUCAUAAUUAUACCCAACCUGAUAAAACUAUUUCACAUACAAUCAUAAAUGCCUUAAACAUUUAACCAGGUCACUAUUGUGCUUAACAUGACAUAAUUAUCCCUCAUUCAACCACAAACAUAUUAUACAUUUAGAAUGCAUGGCAAUGCCCCUUGAGGGACAUUCUUUUACUAUCCUAAACUUAAAUAUGAUAACCCCUGAUAGUCUUGUAAUUGAUGUUAUACUACAUGAUAAAGAAGUCAAGGAGAGAAAACACAAAUAUCUGUAUAAACACAUUCUUAACAAAAUAUGACAAAACAGUCGUCAUUAUUAUUAUUAUUGUCAUUAUUAUUAUUAUUAUAAUCCUCUUUUCUGCAACUGACUAUGUGGUGUUAACUUGUAUUUAUAACUCUCUUCCUCUACUACACAUUCCGAGUUUCCUCCGCCGUCAGCAAGCACCUCAGUAGGUCUCGGCUCUUUUUAUGGAGGAGUGACACCUUCAUUCCCGAAGGGUCCGUGUCUUUUGUCAUCCUUUCUGGAUUAGGCUGUUGUGGUUUCACACUGACUUUAAUGACAGGACACGGUAGCAGCAAGAGAUGUGCUGAAGGAUCGCUUGCACUCCAGACAUAAUCUUGCUUCUAUUGUGGAGAAGUCAUCCAGCUUCGUUUUGGUAAUCUGGAUCAAUCACCCUGUCUAACACCUAUUCCUUUCUUGGUCUGUAGGGUUUAAGGACAUCAGAAGGCCAAAGUGGCUGGAGGGGAGGUGGAGUGUGAACUUCCAGUGCAAUCGAGUGUUGGUUGUGUCUCCUGGAAAUAGUGCUCUCCUCUCUAGGACCAAACAUCUAGGCCAGAGGACUUAAGGUCAUAGGAACAGGGAACAAACGUUUUCCUAGUGGGUUUGCUCGGGGUAAUAAUGAGUGGAACUAUUCUCCUUGAUUCCAUGGAUCCUAGCUAUGGGCUCGACUGCACCAUGUAUUAGAACCUGACUCAAAGCAUACACUGCCUUCGGGAGAACCGUGCCCCAGCCCUCCAGGCUGUAAAUGUGUCUUCACAAGGCCAUUCCAUCUUUAUAUCAGGCCAACUGCUUCAAGAUGGUCAAGAACAUGGUAAGACCAGGGGAUUUCUGGCUGGUCAGAAGCAAGUCGAAUACCGUGAUGGUGGAUAAGGCACUCCACAAAUGGCAGUUUUGGCAGGAAUAUGAUGUGCAGGCAAAUCUGUUACCAGAAGAAAUGUUUAUUCAGUAAGAACAAGUGUCUUCUCUACAGAGGAAGUGCUCCAAUGUGGUCAACCUGCCACCAGGCCACUGGCUGGUCAUCCCAGGGAAUGCUGUUCAGUGUUGGUCUCUGCUGUUGGCAGAUCCGUUCCUCAGCAGCAGCUAUAGCCAGAGAAGUUUCAGUGAGUAAAAGUCCAUUAAUAACCUCCAUGUCUGCCACCAUGGUCACUUUACUCAUGCGCACUUUGGCCAGUGGCAUGGAUGGCACUGUAAUGAGAGUAGAAACCAUAUGCAUUUGGGCAACUUCUUCAAAUAAUUUGCUUUAGUGCCACUGGGACCUGCUCAGACCUACUGACAUAUACACCCUUUCCAUUUGAUAAUGGAUUACUGCUGUACAUGUCCUACUUGGUGAGUCAGAUAACAUACAGCUCAUGGUGGGGCGGCUCAGACCAAAUGGUCACUUGGUGUCCCAUGGUCAAACAUUCAGUUUCCACUAGGAAUCCAUAAAUAGGCUGAAAGCUGUCUCUCAAAGGGAAAAUAGUUGUUUGCAGAUUAUGGUAGAGCCUUGCUCAAAAAUACAAAAGGUUUCUCCGUGAUUUACUUGCAGGGGCUAUACAGCAUCCCUAUCUGCCAUGAUAUUUCAAGUACCAUCAGGUCUGAUGGGCCAUAUGGUUCGAGUGGCCGAGCAGCUUUACAACAACCUGUGCUUGUUCAAGAGCCUUUUCCUAUUCCAGGCCUUACAUAAAGCUAGCAGUUUUCUGAGUCCCUUGAUAUAUGAGCUGGAGUAACAUACCCAAGAGAGGAAUGUGUUGUCUCCAGAAUCCACAUAGGCUUGCUAAAGGGUGUGUUUCUUUCUUGGUGAUGGGAGUGGCCAGGUUCAAUAAUUUAGCCUUCUCUUUAGAACAGUGCUUCUCACCCUACAUAGGACUAUGACAUGUUGUUGUGACCACCAACCACAAAGUAUUUUCAUGGCUACUUCAUAACUCUAAUUUUGCUACUGUUACUGACUUUUAAUAUGAAUGUCUGAUAUGCCAACUCCAUGAAAGAGUCAUUCAGCCCCAACAGAGUGGUCUGGACCCAUGGUUGAGAAUGGCUGCCUCAGAAGGACUAUCUCUGAAUUUCACUGAGGGAGCCCUGGAAGUUUGGUUGGAUUUAUUUCCCAUCCUCUGGUGCACAUAUGUGUUACCGAUAAGUCCAAAUUAGUUGCUACUACUUGCUUGCUUUCUUUAGUCAGUAUAAUGUCAUCAAUAGAGUGGACCAAUGUGAUAUUUUUGUGGAAGAGACAAUCAAGAUCCCACCUAACUAAGUUAUGACACAGUGCUGGAGAAUAAUAUGUCCUUGAGGUAAAACUGUAAGUGUCCUGCUGGCCUUGCCAACUGAAAGCAAACUACUGCUGGUGGUCUUUGUAAACAGGUACUGAGUAAAAGGCAUUGCUAGAUCAGUAGCUAUAUACCAUGUGCUAGGAGAUGUGUUAAUCUGCUCCAAGUAAGGACACCACAUCUGAGACCACAGCUACAAUUGGACUCACUACUUGAUUGAUUUGAUGGUCAACUGUAAUUCUCCAUUCUCUCUUUGUCUUUUACUAGCCAAAUAGGAGAGUUAAAGGGGGAUGUGGAACACUACUACCCUGCAUCUUUUCAGAUCCUUGAGAGUGGCAUUACUUUCUACAGUUCUUCUAGGAAAGUGAUCCUGGUUUUGAUUCAUUAUUUUCCUUGGUGGAGCAAGUCUUAAAGCUUCCGUUUAACUGUUCUCACCAUAAUAGCCCUCACUCCACUGCACAGGUCAUGGAACCAAUGCGGAAAUUCUGCCAAAUUCUAAAUAUAUCUCCUCCAAUUGUACAUUUGAGGACUGGGGAAAUAACCACAGGGUAAGUUUAGGGACAUAAUGGACUUAUGAUGAGAUACCAGCCAAAAAUGUAUCAAUCACCUGACACCUUAAACCCCUACUUUAAAUGGAGCACUGCAGUAUGUUUCUUGGAAUCUUCCCACAAUCAGCAUAUAUUAAAAAUGAGUACCCAACAAACUCUGGAAAGUCUAGCUAUUUCCUUUCCCCCAGUGUAUAGUUAUCCUUGUAAAAAGCCUUAGUUCCCUCUAGGGAAAAACUGGAGAAAGACCAACAUUAAAACUUUUGGGUAUUUUCUCAAGGCCCUUCCUCAGUAGAACCUGGACUUUCCUUUAUUUCAGGGGGUCCGUGUCUGCAAACUGCCUUAAAUCUGAAAAUUGUUUCACAGAUCAAGAUCCCGUUUUGACAUGUUCUAGUAGAGCCUUGUUUUCUUUGUUUGAGAAAUUUUCUGCUUAUAUAGAUCAAACAAAUUUAGUUUCUAGUUCUUGCCUGAAAAUAGCAUAAUUGAUUAGCCAGUAACAAAGGUCUGUGGAAGUCAUAUGGUUUACCAUAAAAAUCACUGCUUGUGCUAACUAACCAUCAUGGAUUAGGACAUUGUGGACAUUGCUUAUGCUGGCCAUUACAAAUGCUAUAAUCUGUGGAAGUUAGGUCCUGGUUGUUCCUCCCAACCCCAUGCUCCCAGAAAUAAGACAGACUCAAAAUAUACUUACAAAUACUUUGGCCAUAUAGCUAGGCUCUUUUUUGACUAGACAUAACAUAUCCCAUUUAUUCUAGCCUACAUUCUGCCAUGUGACUGGCUACUUAUGCUCCAGUACCGUGUGUCCAUCUCCUUACAUCUUUCAGGUGAAUCUCUACAGCAAUCACCUUGUCUUUGGUGAUUCAGGGCUGCCACCUGGACGCUGCUACAUCAGGGCCGAAUUAAAUCCAUUGUAUUUAAUUCAUCCAACUGAGCAUCAACACCUCCAACCCUAAUGUCUGACAUCAGGCAAAAGUGACACCAAAGCCCUUUAAAUGUGUUUGUGUCUCCUCACUGUUUGUGUCUUAUAGGAUUAAUAGAGGUGUGUCUUCUGGGCUUUCCCUUUGUGAGCAGUUAGGUUUCACAUAGCAUACCCACUCUAGCAUUGCAAUUUUCCUGAGCCUUAAAAUCCUUUCAUCAACAUUAAGCCAAGAGAUAUCAGACAUCUCCAACUCCAUUUCAGUAUGUCAUCUUUUGAUGAAUGCUUCAUUUAAACAAACUUUUGACAGUUUUAAAAAAUUGUAAAAGCUCCCACAUUAUACCUAGAAUCUCCACUCAGAGGACUUAGAUCAAUACAAUCAGCCUAAUCCAGUUUUAUGUUUCGUCCACCGUUUUCUCACACCCUUAAAAUCCAUUCCCACACAAAUUUCCCAGACUUUCUCUUGAAUGAAUUAGAAAACUCAUUAAGCACCUCCUCCUGGACUACACUUUCACCCUCCCCUCUGGAAGCCCUCCUUUCCUUGAGUCUGUUAAUAAGUCUAGAGGCAACUAUUGGUGGGUGAGGAGGACAUUAGUGUUGUCUUACCUGGCAUCUCCUUCAGAGAAAGUUACUGCAGGUAGCAGACAAUGAAGAAUUAAUUCCUCAGUCAAGGGGGGAAAAGUCAAUUUUCCAGGCGUUAGGUGUUAAUAUAUCUAUGGCUAAGGGUGUCAAGACUACUUUCUUAGGUGAAAUUGACCCUUGUGAAUCUGAGGGUUCAAAGUCUAAUAGGACCAUCUCACAUAGCCCCAUCCCAAGUUACAAGAUCCCAUUCAUUACCAAUUAACACUCUUACUUAACUGAUGACACCCUUGGCUGCUGGAGAUAAGAUUCCUUCCCAGGGCACACUUAGAAACCUUUAGACUGCCUAUGUGCAGCUGGAACCUGUCGGUUUGAUCACCGAGUUCAUCGCUAUCCUUGCCCUGUCCUGAGAUGCGAGAAGCUGGUUCAUUUUAUGGCAGAGCCUAUUCUUUUCCUUUGUCGGUUUAUCCAGAGAUGCUAGGAGCACCCUCAGUUUUCUUACCUUUUCACCAGUCGUCAAAACUGUUCUCUACACAAUCACCAGAUCCGUUGCCACUCGGAACAGGCGAAUCAGGAAAACCAAAUUCAUUUUUUCCCCUUUAAUUUUGUAAAAUACUUCACACCAUAUUCUCCAAGUUUUAGGAAAGGUUCAGCAACUAUAAAUAUUAGCAGAUUAGAAAGCCUAUUUUAAUAUUUAAAAAUAUUCUUAUGUAUCUAAAAUUCAUCUUUAUACUUUUGUUACUCUAGAACCACAUUUUGUACCAAUACCUGUAUCAGUUAGGGUUUUCUAGAGGAACAGAGCUCUCUCUCUCUCUCUGUGUGUGUGUGUGUGUGUGUGUGUGUGAGAGAGAGAGAGAGAGAGAGAGAGAGAGAGAGAUUUAUUGGAAUGACUUACAGGCUGUGGUUCAGGUAGUUCAACAAUGGCUUUCUACUAAGAAGAGAUUCAUGAAACCAGUAUCUCAGUCCAUGAGGCUAUAUGUCUUCGGUAUAUGUCAGAAUCCAAAAGAAGCAGGCUCUAAUGAAGGUGAAGAAUGGACUUGCCAGUGAGUGCAAGAGCAAGCAAGCCAUGUCUUUUAUAUAGGCUACCAGGAGAAGGUGGCUAUGGCCCAGAUUAAAAGUGAAUCUUCCUACCUCAAAAGAUCCAGGUUAGAAGUCUUCCCACUUCAAAUGUUUUAUUUAGAAAAGUCUGUCACAAGUGUACCCAGUGUUUUAGUUAAUUUGAGAUGAAGUCAAGGUGAAAACCAAGUUUAGCCAUCAAAGUGGUUGAAUUUAACAAAAAAGAAAAGAAGAGGUCUAUAAACAUUUUAGGUGAAAUUUUUGAAGAAUCUUUUGCUUCCAUGGGAUUUGUUUAUUUUUGUGGUGAUGGACAUAGGACACAAAGCCUUACUCAAGUUAGGCUAAUAAUAUAUGUAAGACUGAACUAGCCUCUCAAUCUAGUCUGGCCUGCUUCACCCUCUCUAGUGUUGGGAUUACAGGUGAUAUGUGUCGAUUUGUAUUGGGCUGUUAGAGAGUAGAAUAAUAAGUUUUAAUCGACCUCAAACCAUACUGUUACCUUUCAAAAAUCCUUUAAAAAGUUCUGUAUAAAAAGUGCAAUAGGUUUUUGUGGGUGGCAUUGUAAUUUGUAGGGCAAUGCUUUGAUUUAGUGUGUAUUUUCCCCUGGUCCUUUGUUAUUUGCAUUAUAGAUCUCAUACCUACAUGCUAACUAUACUCCCAUACUCGUGUGACACGGGUGUGAUCUCAGUCUUCAGAAAGGCUCCACGAAGCCGUUGCUGGUAUCAGAUUGGACAAACAAGAGAUUCCUUGCCAUUCUUCCAAGAACGCUUAAUUGCUUCAAGAUUCUACGUUUUGAAUUUCAAAGUUAUAUUUUAAGUGGUUUGUGUGAAAGCAUCUCUGAGGCAAGCACUUGAAGUUCCUCUUCAGGAGGAAAAGAGGAAAACAAACCAGUGAAUAUUAGCGCACAGGAGUGGGGGUGGGGGUGGAGGUGGAGGUAGGGUGAAGUAUCUGCCUAAGCUCUGACUCCUGUCCUAUACAAGGUCAUGGGAUGCUAACGCUUCCAAAAUAUAGCUGUAAUGAGUGCUCAUCUUUUUUAAAAAUACCUUUUAUUUCCUCAGAAGUAUUUUUUUCAGUCCCUCUGAAUCUAGGUAUACACUGAACUUGUUGAAAUUUGGACAAGAUUUGUAGGAGGGCUCAGAAUUCAGAGUUAGCUGUCCUCUCUAGAGAGGGAAACCUACUAUCACUAGACAUCUGAAGGGCUAAUAAGCAGAAGUGAUUGAGAAUUUGCUGGCACUGUACAGGAGAGAGGAGAAAGCUAGCAAAUAUGAUUUUGUACCCCUGUAUAGGAAAGAGUUUUACUAACUCUUCGCCAGCAAGGUCAAUAGGUAUCUCAAAAGUUCAAAUAUCCAGUCAUGCAAGAAGUGAUGAUGGGGUGGGGAAAAGACGGUUCCUGCACUUCUCAAACAUUCACAUGUCUGAGGUCUGUCUGGAGUUGUCGCUAAAACGUAACUUCCCAUUCAGUGAGUGUGGGGUGGUACCCAAGAUUCUUCAUACUUAAAAGGUUCUUUGGUGAAGUCAAUGCCAGUAGUUCAGAGAUAACAUGGGAAUAACAGCCCAGCUGUCUACUACAUUUGAAAAAAAUCUAACUUUAUUAUUUAUUUUAUGUAAUCAGGUGUUUUACCUUUACAUAUGUCCAUGUAUUAUUUGGAUGCUGUGCCCAGUGAGACCAGUCCCUGGGAUUGGAGGGUGAAGUAUUUGCCUAAGUUCUGACCUCUGUCUUAUACAAAGUCAUAGGAUGAUAAUGCUUUCAAAAUACAGCUGGAUGGUGGUGAGCCACUAUGUAGAUGCUAGAACUGAAUCUGGGUCUUCUGGAAGAGCAACCAAUGCUCUUAACUUCUGAGCCAUCUUCCUCUCCAUCCCUUAGUUCUUAGAUACUAAUUGUGAUUGAUGAUGCAAUUAGAAGCUGGGGCAGGAGGAUCAAACCCAAUCUAGAUCACAGAGUGGGAGCUUCUCAAUGAGAAACAAAUACCCAACAGGCGACACUCCAAAGAAUGUAAGAAGCACACUUGGAGAGAAGUUGGCUUAGUUGUGAUUCCUAAACACAGAGCCCCUCAAAGCUUCUUUUGUGUUAUAGGAUGCCCAUGAAUUCCUGUUUUAUAUUCUUCAGUACAGACUCUUCCAUUGGGUUUGCUCAUACACACCCCAAUUUGCCUUGGGAUAGCUGUCUACAUGCAGAAAAUCCAGGUGCCCGCACAAAACGUUGAAAAGAAGGAUCCGAUUCCAUCCGGAGACAGGCUAGAAGGUCUCUGCACAGGGAGGUGUUCUAAAGAUGAGGUGACAGAAGCAAGAUAGGCCAAGGUAUGAAAGAAACUGACCCAGCAGGACAUUGACCUCUAGAGGGCAUAACAGCUCUCAAGGAUAAGUACUUUCCUUCAUGGUUAUCCAUCUCUAUGGUAGGUAGUAUGUUUUGGCUUUCGCAUUUAUGUUAAUGUUAGCCAGGACCAGCUUGGUAUGCAUGGGUUUUUGUUGUUGUUGUUGUUUUCUUUCUUUCUUUUUUUUUUUUUUUUUGUUUUUGCUUUUCAUCCUGUUACCAUCUACUCCAGAAGAAGCACUUCUGAAGGGAAAGAACCUUACAGAGUUCAGGAAAAGCCACGAUGGAACUUGUGAUGCAGGCUCCCUAUCAGCACUAAUUUAAAAAACACCUCUUCCAGAACAAAGCUUCAAAGCACGCCUAGUCCUUCGAAUACGCAAGCAACAUAUUUGAAAGGUGUUCCGAAAACGAGCAUAAGAUGGGCAAUGGUGGUGCACACCUUUAAUCCCAGCACUCUGGAGACAGAGGCAGGCAGAUCUCUGUGAGUUUGAGACCGGCCGAUCAACAGCGCGAGUUCCAGGCCAGGCAUUCUAGAGGAUGAUGUUGCACUGGGUCCCUUUCUUUCUUGCCUUGGCCCUUCCUGUUUCUGUCACUUUCUAGUCCCUGAUCAGUUGAGAAUGGGAGCCCACUGCUCUCUUGCCAUCAUUGAAAGCUCAUUUUCAGAAUCCAGCAGGGUUGGCUGCCAUCUGAAGACAGGCUGGAAGGGCUCCGCUAUUCCCCUGAGACACAGUCUCACCACAGACUUCCUGUCCUUCUGGCUCUGCCCCUGAGCCUUAGGUAGGGGAGUUGUGUUAUUGGACAGUGUGACAGCCAGGGUUGGACACCACAUAAACACUUGUUUUCUGCAUUUUUGGGCUGUGAUUUUCAUAAUGAUCUUAAUAUGAUCUUUCUUUAUUCUGUGUAGUUGAGGUGAGAGGAAAUUGGUAUUUCCAUGAUGGUCUAUGAACAUAUCUCUGGCCAAAUAAUCCUACUGUUUUGGUUUCCCUGUGGUGACUGAGAGCAUUACUCUACUGUUUGGAGAAAACUUAAAAUACUUAUAAAUGUAUUACAGACAAAAAUGUUUCCCACUGAAUCCCUCUACUCUUUCAGGGGUGACUCUCCCCAAAUGGUUUGGGUUACUACAUUUGUGUGAUAAAAGAACUAAAUGGUCCAGAGCAGCUGUGACAGGGACCUUGCCUUCCCUGUAGAGGGCAAAGAUACAGUCGCAAUUAAGUGAGUCAUUACCUGAAGCUUGCUACACCUUCUGUGCAUGAGCUAUAAUCAAUAUGCAGUAAACAAAAACUACUAAACUAUAAAACUAUAAGCUACUAUAUCAAAUACUUAAUUGAGCAAAAUGUAUAAUCUUUGUUGAUCCAGAACUUAGUUCAGAUGUUGGUAACAUCUCAUGACUGUGGUAAAGAUUGUGAACUAAUUAUAUAGGAAACGGUAUACAGAAGAUGCAGAAGCCCAGACUAGAUCUGCUGUAGUUAUUAUCUAAAGUGGCUUUUUAAAAGUGGCUUCCUGAAACAUCCUGUUUCUGUUCAUUUCACUUUCUAUCAUAAAGGCAAGAUAUGAAUGUAUCCCCCACCCCAACAAUUUAGUUACUUUGCCCAUAAGAUUCUGUAGGUCAAUAGUAAGUACGUCUUGCCCACAUAGAGUGCUAACAGCAAAGCUGCAGAUUACCUGGUAAAAAGUCAUCAUAUUUCAACAUCUUUGAAUGUAGUGUGUCAGCACAUCUGUCACCUGCUGUCUUGCUAAUCAGUGAAGGUGUCACUUUCUGUCAGUCUCGAGGCCUUGUGCACUGACUUCGGUGUGGUUGUAGUUCAUCUGGCGACUGAAUGACAACCAGUGUGAUCCAAGCCAGCUUAAUUCAUGGACUGUGAUUUCAGAACUCAAUUUGUGUCAUUUCUCUGUGAAGAAAGAGAGAAUAACGCAUCAUAAAUCCACAGCUCCCUCUGUGGUAGGCACUGCAAGUUGACCGCAUUCCCACCAAAUGGGCUCUCAAUUAGAAAGAUUUGUGGCUGUGGCAGCACAUUACCAGCUAAGAGGAAGCUGCGAAGACUGUAAAUAUCAGCCUGGCCACGUCUCUCCCAGACACAAGACAGCGCGAACCAAACAAGAGUCUGAGCUGUGUUUUCAUACUCCUUGUCAGAACUGGCUCCCGGGCAUUGGCAGAAUGUUGUAGCCAUAUGUUUUGUGUGCGUGUGUUUUGUCUCUAAAUGUCUAGCUUUGAACUUGCUUGAAGUGUGUAGCUUAUGUUAGAUGUUGUUUCUAACAGAUACAAGUUUCAUAUGUCCAUAUCUAACAUGUAAAAUUUUUUUCUUAGAACAAAUUCUUCUUGCUUUUGAUGCUAUAACAGUAGAUCAUUAGUGUGGAGGUUUUGAGAAACAUUGUGGCUUGUUCAUUCAUUUACCUGAGAGUGCUGGGAUCCCUGGGCUGGUGGUCCUGGUUUCUAUAAGAUCACAUGCUGAUCGAGCCAGUAACCAUCAUCCCACCAUAACCCCAUCAUCAGCUCCUGCCUCCUGGUUUCUGCCCUGUUUGAGUUCCUGCCCUGACUUCCUUUGAUGUGGAAGUGUAAGCUGAAUAAAGACUUUCCUCCCCAACUUGGUUUUGGUCAUGGUGUUUCAUCACUGCAUGGUAACCCUAAUAAUAUCAUGAUGUCGGGCUGGAGAGAUGGCUCAGCGGUUAAGAGCACCCGACUACUCUUCCAGAGGUCCUGAGUUCAAUUCCCAGCAACCACAUGGUGGCUCACAACCAUCUGUAAAGAGAUCCAAUGCCCUCUUCGGGUGCGUCUGAAGACAGCUACAGUGUACUUAUAUGUAAUAAAUAAAUAAAUAAAUCUCUAAAAAAAUAAUAUGAGGAUGUCUUCUAAAUACAUAAGCAAAUCCAUAAACUGUAAAGUAACUCUGUUAGUUUUUAUGUAUAGCAACCCUGGAUUUUCAGUAUUCUCCUGUUGUAUUAUUUUCUCUAGGAAGUGUGGAAAAGAAACUUAACUUUGAUUCUUUCUUAUUACAAAAGUAUAAAUUUUGUCAAGAACUUGUCAUAUUUAAAGCUGUAUUCUGAGUACUUCAUAUGCAUUGCUAACUUGUAGUCAUCAAGUUCAUUAAAUUGAAUACUAUUAUUA